Molecule: ribosomal RNA, 492 nt
Filed under: uncultured bacterium
Lineage: Bacteria
Description: partial 16S ribosomal RNA
Rfam family: Bacterial small subunit ribosomal RNA
Source: RNAcentral
AGUGAACGCUGGCGGUAGGCCUAACACAUGCAAGUCGAACGGCAGCACAGUAAGAGCUUGCUCUUACGGGUGGCGAGUGGCGGACGGGUGAGGAAUACAUCGGAAUCUACUUUUUCGUGGGGGAUAACGUAGGGAAACUUACGCUAAUACCGCAUACGACCUACGGGUGAAAGCAGGGGAUCUUCGGACCUUGCGCGAUUGAAUGAGCCGAUGUCGGAUUAGCUAGUUGGCGGGGUAAAGGCCCACCAAGGCGACGAUCCGUAGCUGGUCUGAGAGGAUGAUCAGCCACACUGGAACUGAAACACGGUCCAGACUCCUACGGGAGGCAGCAGUGGGGAAUAUUGGACAAUGGGCGCAAGCCUGAUCCAGCCAUACCGCGUGGGUGAAGAAGGCCUUCGGGUUGUAAAGCCCUUUUGUUGGGAAAGAAAAGCAGCAGGUUAAUACCCCGCUGUUCUGACGGUACCCAAAGAAUAAGCACCGGCUAACCUCGUG